UUAAAGUCUAACCUGCCCAAUGAUUUUUGAAUGGCCGCGGUAUUUUGACCGUGCAAAGGUAGCAUAAUAAUUAGUUUUUUAAUUGAGAGCUGGAAUGAAUGGUUGGACGAGAAAACUACUGUCUCGGUUUAAUUUAUUUAGAAUUUUAUUUUUAAGUUAGAAAGCUUAAUUAUCAUUAAAAGACGAGAAGACCCUAUAGAGUUUUAUAUUUUUUAUUUUAGUGUUGGGAAGGAAUUUAAUUUGACAUUAUUAUUUAGGUAUUUUGUUGGGGUGACAGAAAAAUUUAAUAAACUUUUUUUUUUCUUUUUCAUUGAUUUAUGUGUUUUUGAUCCAAAAUUUUUGAUUAUAAGUUUAAAUUACCUUAGGGAUAACAGCGUAAUUUCUUUUUAGAGUUCUUAUCGAAAGGGAAGUUUGCGACCUCGAUGUUGGAUUAAAAUUAAUGUUGGGUGCAGAAGCUCAAUAAUUAGGUCUGUUCGACCUUUAAAAUUUUACA
Molecule: ribosomal RNA, 493 nt
Filed under: Empecamenta sp. DA1593
Lineage: Eukaryota; Metazoa; Arthropoda; Insecta; Coleoptera; Scarabaeidae
Description: partial 16S large subunit ribosomal RNA
Rfam family: Bacterial large subunit ribosomal RNA
Source: RNAcentral